Long non-coding RNA from Vicia villosa (hairy vetch), 979 nucleotides. RefSeq lists it as uncharacterized. Lineage: Eukaryota; Viridiplantae; Streptophyta; Magnoliopsida; Fabales; Fabaceae. The record is from RefSeq and is a predicted model, not a curated record. The transcript is spliced from 6 exons.
CCUUUACACACAACAAUAUUUUCUCUUUUCUUCUUCGGCUGAAACGCUAUUUCUUCCGCCGAAACCGCCGACCACCCAUCCUAGCCGUCACCACCCACUCCGUUCGCCUUCCUCCGUUCUCCGACCUCCUCCUCCGACCACCCAUCCUAGUCGUCACCACCCACUCGCGCUAAAUCCAAAUCCGAAGACCCAUCAUGGCCGUCACCACCCUUCUUCUACAAAUUCUUGACUCCUUCUUCUCUUCUAAUAUGAUUUCAUCAGUACCAGGUGGUUGGAAGAUUUGUCGUAUGAAGCUUUGGGCUACCAAUGAAGUUUGCGCCAAGUCCAAGUUCAGGUAUUUCUUGAGGAAGCUGAAGAAGGUGAAGAAGAGCAAUGGUCAAAUCCUUGCUAUCAACAAGUAUAUACUUGCGGAGCUUCUUCGGUUUGGUGAUCGUGAGUUUUACAAAGAUUGGUGGAAUGCCUAAACAGUUUAAGAGGUAGGCUUUUUGUUCUGUUUUAUUAUUGGGUAUUUUUAGUUACAAUACUUCCAUGAAGAGAAUCCAUGACCCGUUUUUGUUGAAUGCAUUUAUGCUGUUGCUGUCAUCAAUAUUGGAGGAUGUGGAAUAUGGUACGUUUCCUUUUCAGUCUUGGAUGAAGUUAUUGUAAACACAUAUUUGAUAUCAGCCUCAGAUUUAUGGUUUGUUAAGAAAGCUAAAAUAUGUUCAUUUGGAGUAACUUCAUCAAGCUAUCAAGAAAUGUGAACAUGCUAUGAUUAUUUUAGAUCCUACUGUUGCAUCAUUAGAAACAGAGAGCGGCAGAGUCAUCCAUCUGAAGAAUUCAAAUGCUUACAUUAAUUUUCAUGGUUAAAGUUGUGUAAUUUGGUUUUUGUUUGUAUUGUCCAAGUAAUAUGUUUAAUCUUGGAAUGAUUCAAAAUUAUGGGGAAUCAUUUAAACUUAAUUGUGUAUAGUAUUUUACUAUUCAUUUUAGUAUCAUUGUUAAU